This is an RNA transcript of Marmota monax (woodchuck), 1702 nucleotides long. It is a transcript of the gene named 4-hydroxyphenylpyruvate dioxygenase, with no coding region annotated. The transcript has 13 exons. NCBI's taxonomy places the organism in Eukaryota, Metazoa, Chordata, Mammalia, Rodentia, Sciuridae. The record is from RefSeq and is a predicted model, not a curated record.
AGGGGCAGGCCCUGCGCCCUGGUAAAUACAGAGCUCUGUCCAGCACUCCCAAGAGCUGUGCGUCCCUGUCUUCCUGGCAGGAAGCUUGACCCAGAUCAGCCAUGACGACCUAUAGUGACAAAGGAGCAAAGCCGGAGAGAGGCCGAUUCCUUCACUUCCACUCUGUGACCUUCUGGGUUGGCAAUGCCAAGCAGGCUGCCUCCUUCUACUGCAGCAAGAUGGGCUUCGAGCCACUAGCCUACAGGGGCCUGGAGACGGGCUCCCGGGAGGUGGUCAGCCAUGUGGUCAAGCAAGGAAAGAUUGUGUUUGUCUUCUCCUCUGCACUCAACCCCUGGAACAAAGAGAUGGGCGACCACCUGGUGAAACACGGGGAUGGCGUGAAGGACGUGGCUUUCGAGGUGGAAGACUGUGACUACAUUGUGCAGAAAGCCAGAGAACAGGGGGCCAAGAUAGUGCGGGAGCCCUGGGUGGAGGAAGACAAGUUUGGGAAGGUGAAAUUUGCUGUGCUGCAGACGUUUGGGGACACCACCCACACUCUGGUAGAGAAGACGAACUACAGCGGCCGGUUCCUGCCUGGAUUCAAGGCCCCCCUGCUCAAGGACUCCCUGCUUCCCAAGCUGCCCAGGUGUGGUCUCGAGAUCAUCGAUCAUGUUGUCGGAAAUCUGCUUGAUCAUGAGAUGUCGUCUGCCUCAGAAUGGUACCUGAGGAACCUACAGUUCCACCGCUUCUGGUCUGUGGAUGACACACAAGUGCACACAGAGUACAGCUCUCUGCGCUCCAUUGUGGUGACCAACUAUGAGGAGACCAUCAAGAUGCCCAUUAAUGAGCCCGCAAUGGGCAUGAAGAAGUCCUCGAUCCAGGAAUAUGUGGACUAUAAUGGGGGAGCUGGAGUCCAGCACGUCGGUCUCAAGACCCAGGACAUCAUCACAACGAUAAAACCCAGAGUCUCGCAUGUGGGAGGCGAGCGCUCUACCACUGAGUCACAACCCCAGCCCACCAUCCCUGGUCUUAAGACUCCUCUCUUCAGCUCCAGGGAAAUUCUCUGCAGAAUGGGGAGGGAGGGGGCAGUGGCAGUCUGGGGUUCCCUUCUCCAGCCUAGAGGGCUGACAGGGUUCCUUGCCUGGUUCCUGCAACUCCUGCUGCCACCCCCAUCCAGCAUGGGCAGCUGACCUAGGUUUACGAGUGUGAAUUUGUGGUGAAGCAAAAUAAAACACAGACACAAUUUACAUUUACACAAGCUUCAGGAUGGCUUCCCCAGGCUCUGGGCCUCAGGCUCCAGAAGGCAGAGAAAGACAAAGUCAGGAGAGGCUGAUGAGAGAGAGAGCAUGUUGGGAAGUGAGCUUUUAUUUGGGGGAGCACUGUUCUUAGAAAGUUCCACCCCCCAAAAAAAGAGCAGAAAGUGUAGAAUUACAAGGGGGCAGGUGAGUGUAACUCAACCUCAGAAGUAUGCCUACACCUGAAGACCUUGCUAUCUGAGCUGGGACAAGGCCCAAGUCACUACAAAAUGUAGUGAUUGGUCAGAGCCUCGUGCUUCAGGACUGGAAGAUGUGAUCAUUCAAAGCGGGUCCCCACACCUGUAUUCGCAACUUGCAAGAGAGAGGCAUGGAGUUCCUGACUGUACCAUCAACCUAUUACAAGCAACUUCGGGAGAAUCUCAAGACAGCCAAGAUCCGGGUGAAGGAGAGCAUUGACGUGUUGGAGG